This 245-nucleotide ribosomal RNA is filed under the name uncultured bacterium. RNAcentral's name for it is "partial small subunit ribosomal RNA". It matches the Rfam family "Bacterial small subunit ribosomal RNA", at positions 26 to 285 of the family's 1533-position model. The record is from RNAcentral.
AGAAUCAACGCUGGCGGCGUGCCUAACACAUGCAAGUCGCACGAGAAACGGACUUCGGUCCUGAGUACAGUGGCGCACGGGUGAGUAACACGUGAAUCAUCUACCUUCGAGUGGGGAAUAACUGAGAGAAAUCUUAGCUAAUACCGCAUAAUACCCACGGGUCAAAGCAGCAAUGCGCUUGAAGAGGAGUUCGCGGCAGAUUAGUUAGUUGGCGGGGUAAUGGCCCACCAAGACGAUGAUCUGUA